UACGUAGGGUCCGAGCGUUGUCCGGAAUUAUUGGGCGUAAAGAGCUCGUAGGCGGUUUGUCGCGUCUGCUGUGAAAUCCCGAGGCUCAACCUCGGGCCUGCAGUGGGUACGGGCAGACUGGAGUGCGGUAGGGGAGAAUGGAAUUCCUGGUGUAGCGGUGAAAUGCGCAGAUAUCAGGAGGAACACCGGCGGCGAAGGCGGGUCUCUGGGCCGAUACUGACGCUGAGGAGCGAAAGCGUGGGGAGCGAACAGG
This 253-nucleotide ribosomal RNA is filed under the name uncultured bacterium. RNAcentral describes it as "partial 16S ribosomal RNA". It matches the Rfam family "Bacterial small subunit ribosomal RNA", at positions 524 to 776 of the family's 1533-position model. The record is from RNAcentral.